Molecule: ribosomal RNA, 253 nt
Filed under: uncultured bacterium
Lineage: Bacteria
Description: partial 16S ribosomal RNA
Rfam family: Bacterial small subunit ribosomal RNA
Source: RNAcentral
UACAGAGGUCUCAAGCGUUGUUCGGAUUCACUGGGCGUAAAGGGUGCGCAGGUGGUCGGGUAAGUCUGAUGUGAAAUCCCGCAGCUCAACUGCGGAAUGGCAUUGGAUACUAUUUGGCUAGAGGGUUGGAGGGGGGACUGGAAUUCUCGGUGUAGCAGUGAAAUGCGUAGAUAUCGAGAGGAACACCAGUGGCGAAGGCGAGUCCCUGGACAACUCCUGACGCUGAGGCACGAAAGCUAGGGGAGCAAACAGG